CCUACGGGAGGCAGCAGUGAGGAAUAUUGGUCAAUGGGCGCGAGCCUGAACCAGCCAAGUAGCGUGAAGGAUGACUGCCCUACGGGUUGUAAACUUCUUUUAUAAAGGAAUAAAGUGAGGCACGUGUGCCUUUUUGUAUGUACUUUAUGAAUAAGGAUCGGCUAACUCCGUGCCAGCAGCCGCGGUAAUACGGAGGAGCCGAGCGUUAUCCGGAUUUAUUGGGUUUAAAGGGCGCGUAGAUGGGUUGUUAAGUCAGUUGUGAAAGUUUGCGGCUCAACCGCAAAAUUGCAAUUGAUACUGGCAGCCUUGAGUACAGUAGAGGUAGGCGGAAUUCGUAGUGUAGCGGUGAAAUGCGUAGAUAUCACGAAGAACUCCGAUUGCGAAGGCAGCCUACUAGACUGCCACUGACGGUGAUGCUCGAAAGUGUGGGGAUCAAACAGGAUUAGAUACCCCUGUAGUC
This 460-nucleotide ribosomal RNA is filed under the name uncultured bacterium. Its description in RNAcentral is "partial 16S ribosomal RNA". It matches the Rfam family "Bacterial small subunit ribosomal RNA", at positions 338 to 795 of the family's 1533-position model. The record is from RNAcentral.